This 253-nucleotide ribosomal RNA is filed under the name uncultured bacterium. Its description in RNAcentral is "partial 16S ribosomal RNA". It matches the Rfam family "Bacterial small subunit ribosomal RNA", at positions 524 to 776 of the family's 1533-position model. The record is from RNAcentral.
UACGAAGGGGGCUAGCGUUGUUCGGAAUCACUGGGCGUAAAGGGCGCGUAGGCGGCUUUGUAAGUCGGGGGUGAAAGCCUGUGGCUCAACCACAGAAUUGCCUUCGAUACUGCAUGGCUUGAGACCGGAAGAGGUAAGUGGAACUGCGAGUGUAGAGGUGAAAUUCGUAGAUAUUCGCAAGAACACCAGUGGCGAAGGCGGCUUACUGGUCCGGUUCUGACGCUGAGGCGCGAAAGCGUGGGGAUCAAACAGG